AUUGAACGCUGGCGGCAGGCCUAACACAUGCAAGUCGAGCGGAGCGGCGGACGGGUGCGUAUUGCCUAGGACUCGGCCUGUUCGUGGGGGAUAACGUCCGGAACCGGGCGCUAAUCCCGCAUCCUCUCACAUUCGCCUAGGUCGGAUUAGCUAGUUGGUGGGGUAAAGGCCUACACAGGCGACGAUCCGGAACUGGUCUGAGAGGAUGAUCAGUCACACUGGAACUGAGACACGGUCCAGACUCCUACGGGAGGCAGCAGUGGGGAAUAUUGGACAAUGGGCGAAAGCCUGAUCCAGCCAUGCCGCGUGUGUGAAGAAGGUCUUCGGAUUGUAAAGCACUUUAAGUUGGGAGGCGUUACCAACAGAAUAAGCACCGGCUAACUUCGUGCCAGCAGCCGCGGUAAUAC
This 407-nucleotide ribosomal RNA is filed under the name uncultured bacterium. RNAcentral describes it as "partial 16S ribosomal RNA". It matches the Rfam family "Bacterial small subunit ribosomal RNA", at positions 30 to 526 of the family's 1533-position model. The record is from RNAcentral.